CACUUAAGCUUCAGAAAUGUUAACUGACAUGUUUCCAAAGGAAUUCAGAAAUUGCUCUGCUUGACAUCUGUAUUCUGUGAGAAGUCAGGAACGCACUUGGCCUCAGAGACAUGGAGGCUAAGCUAAGCAAUGCAUUUGUUUACUGCCUGAAUGUGAUGUGUUCUCUUUAACAAAGGCAAUUGUUUUUACAUUUUGAUUUUGUAAAACAUGCAAAAUGGUUAUCCAAGAAGUCUUCUAAGCUAUAAAUGGUGUAUGUAAUAUUAAAGAUUUUAUGAUCCAAAUCUCAAUUCCUUAGAAAAGUAAAAGCUUUUUCUCAUGAAAGCCCUACACUUUAGAAGUGAUCUUAAUAAAGUGUUCGAUGUGUUCCUAGACACCCAUUAUUCUGCUCGACAAUAAAGUUAACAAAGGCAAGUUUAGGUCAGUGCUUUCAUUUGUACAUUGGCUGCAUUUAUAAAAUUCUUUUAUAAUGAAUUUUGGUAUUUAUAGUUAACAGAAAUGUCUCAUUAUUCUCUUGAUAAUUACCGAUAUCCAAAGUUCCACUGUGAGAGCGUUACUUUUUUAUGUGAGAAUUUUGAACUCUAUUAAGUUAGAAAUGCAUCCUAGAAAUGGCAAUUUUUAAAAUAAGGGUUCAGGAAACUAUGAGCAAAACAUGAACUAAAGCCUGCUUUUGUAAAGUGUUAUAGAAUGUUUUUAUAUCUUUAAAUAAUAUUCUGGGGGGGCUGGAAAAUUAAGAUGAUGUAGGCUUAGUUUCUAGUAUCCACAUGGCAGCACACAGCUCCAGUUGCAGGGGAUCAAAUGUCCUCUCUGGCUUCUUCGGGUGCUUCUCACCCAUGUUACACAUCAUACACAGACACAAAACACCCACAC
RNAcentral lists this long non-coding RNA (867 nucleotides) under Mus musculus (house mouse). RNAcentral's name for it is "long non-coding RNA chr12:45494914-45495781". The record is from RNAcentral. Lineage: Eukaryota; Metazoa; Chordata; Mammalia; Rodentia; Muridae.